Molecule: ribosomal RNA, 1118 nt
Filed under: uncultured organism
Description: bacterial SSU rRNA
Rfam family: Bacterial small subunit ribosomal RNA
Source: RNAcentral
GGUGCUUGCAUUGGGGGGAGAGUGGCGAACGGGUGAGUAACACGUGGAUUAUCUGCCUUCAGGUCUGGGAUAACCCCGGGAAACCGGGGCUAAUACCGGAUAAUAUGGCAACAUUAAAGGUGGGGACCUUCGGGCCUAUCGCCUGAAGAUGAGUCCGCGUCCCAUUAGCUUGUUGGUGGGGUAAUGGCCUACCAAGGCGACGAUGGGUAGCCGGCCUGAGAGGGUGUACGGCCACAUUGGGACUGAGAUACGGCCCAGACUCCUACGGGAGGCAGCAGUUAAGAAUCUUGCGCAAUGGGCGAAAGCCUGACGCAGCGACGCCGCGUGGACGAUGAAGGCCUUCGGGUUGUAAAGUCCGGUAAGCAGGGAAGGAUAAGUGUAAAGUAAUAUCUUGCACGAUGACGGUACCUGCCUAAAGCCCCGGCUAACUACGUGCCAGCAGCCGCGGUAAUACGUAUGGGGCAAGCGUUGUUCGGAAUUAUUGGGCAUAAAGGGCGUCUAGGCGGGGGACUAAGUUAGGUGUGAAAGCCAUGGGCUCAACCCAUGAAUUGCACCUAAAACUGGUUUUCUUGAGUUCGGGAGAGGAGAGCGGAAUUCCCGGUGUAGCGGUGAAAUGCGUAGAUAUCGGGAAGAACACCAGUGGCGAAGGCGGCUCUCUGGCCUAGAACUGACGCUGAAGCGCGAAAGCGUGGGGAGCGAACGGGAUUAGAUACCCCGGUAGUCCACGCCGUAAACGUUGUGUACUGGGUGUUAGUGGCUUGACCACUAGUGCCGUCGCAAACGCAUUAAGUACACCGCCUGGGGAGUACGUCCGCAAGGAUGAAACUCAAAGAAAUUGACGGGGGCCCGCACAAGCGGUGGAGCAUGUGGUUUAAUUCGAUGAUACGCGAAGAACCUUACCUGGGCUUGAACUGUACUUGAUCGGGGUAGAGAUACACCCUCCUUCGGGCAGGUGCAGAGGUGCUGCAUGGUUGUCGUCAGCUCGUGUCGUGAGAUGUUGGGUUAAGUCCCGCAACGAGCGCAACCCUUACCCAUUGUUGCCAUCAGGUAAUGCUGAGCACUCUAGGGGAACUGUCGGUGAUAAACCGGAGGAAGGUGGGGAUGACGUCAAAUCAUCA